GUUGGGAAUAUUGGACAAUGGAGGAAACUCUGAUCCAGUGACGCCGCGUGAAGGAAGAAGGUCUUCGGAUUGUAAACUUAUUUUGUCAGGGAAGAAAAAAAUGACUGUACCUGAAGAAAAAGCACCGGCUAACUACGUGCCAGCAGCCGCGGUAAUACGUAGGGUGCAAGCGUUAUCCGGAUUUACUGGGUGUAAAGGGCGAGUAGACGGCGAUGCAAGUCAGAUGUGAAAUGCUAGGGCUUAACCUUAGAACUGCAUCUGAAACUGUAUUGCUAGAGUGCAGGAGAGGUAAACGGAAUUCCUAGUGUAGCGGUGAAAUGCGUAGAUAUUAGGAGGAACAUCAGUGGCGAAGGCGGUUUACUGGACUGUAACUGACGUUGAGGCGCGAAAGCGUGGGGAGCAAACAGG
RNAcentral lists this ribosomal RNA (408 nucleotides) under uncultured bacterium. RNAcentral describes it as "bacterial SSU rRNA". It matches the Rfam family "Bacterial small subunit ribosomal RNA", at positions 354 to 776 of the family's 1533-position model. The record is from RNAcentral.